GAUGAACGCUGGCGGCGUGCCUAAUACAUGCAAGUCGAGCGAACAGACGAGGAGCUUGCUCCUCUGACGUUAGCGGCGGACGGGUGAGUAACACGUGGAUAACCUACCUAUAAGACUGGGAUAACUUCGGGAAACCGGAGCUAAUACCGGAUAAUAUAUUGAACCGCAUGGUUCAAUAGUGAAAGACGGUUUUGCUGUCACUUAUAGAUGGAUCCGCGCCGCAUUAGCUAGUUGGUAAGGUAACGGCUUACCAAGGCAACGAUGCGUAGCCGACCUGAGAGGGUGAUCGGCCACACUGGAACUGAGACACGGUCCAGACUCCUACGGGAGGCAGCAGUAGGGAAUCUUCCGCAAUGGGCGAAAGCCUGACGGAGCAACGCCGCGUGAGUGAUGAAGGUCUUCGGAUCGUAAAACUCUGUUAUUAGGGAAGAACAAAUGUGUAAGUAACUAGGCACUUCUUGACGGUACCUAAUCAGAAAGCCACGGCUAACUACGUG
RNAcentral lists this ribosomal RNA (497 nucleotides) under uncultured bacterium. RNAcentral's name for it is "partial 16S ribosomal RNA". It matches the Rfam family "Bacterial small subunit ribosomal RNA", at positions 28 to 507 of the family's 1533-position model. The record is from RNAcentral.